CCGAGACCGCAGUAAAACCUCCCUGAUGGAAUCUCAUCAUCUUCAAAGUACAGACGACUCGGCUCCCAUCCGCAGGACAACUGCAUAUUUCAACAUUGCUUAAAUAAACUAUUUAUCUGA
Molecule: non-coding RNA, 120 nt
Organism: Poecilia reticulata (guppy)
Lineage: Eukaryota; Metazoa; Chordata; Actinopteri; Cyprinodontiformes; Poeciliidae
Source: RefSeq, a predicted model, not a curated record